RNAcentral lists this long non-coding RNA (249 nucleotides) under Ananas comosus (pineapple). RNAcentral describes it as "long non-coding RNA (ACOM_LNC035362)". Lineage: Eukaryota; Viridiplantae; Streptophyta; Magnoliopsida; Poales; Bromeliaceae. The record is from RNAcentral.
CUUCGCCCCUACACACAAAAGACCACCUUUAUUUUCCUGCAUCUUUCUAUUCUCGUAUUUACCGCUUUCCUUAGGAGUAGUUCCUAUAAUUUAGCAUACACGGAGUCUGUCUGCUCUAUGGGCAUCACUCCCCUGUUCUCAUACUUAGAGUCUGUCUGCCCUACGGGCAUCACUCCCCUGUUCUUGUACUUUUUUCCAUUUGCUAUUCAAUAGAAAGUCAUUUUCGGCUCUUCUCGCCGAUCAGAUCUC